AUUGAACGCUGGCGGCAGGCCUAACACAUGCAAGUCGAGCGGAUGAAGGGAGCUUGCUCCUGGAUUCAGCGGCGGACGGGUGAGUAAUGCCUAGGAAUCUGCCUGGUAGUGGGGGAUAACGUCCGGAAACGGGCGCUAAUACCGCAUACGUCCUGAGGGAGAAAGUGGGGGAUCUUCGGACCUCACGCUAUCAGAUGAGCCUAGGUCGGAUUAGCUAGUUGGUGGGGUAAAGGCAUACCAAGGCGACGAUCCGUAACUGGUCUGAGAGGAUGAUCAGUCACACUGGAACUGAGACACGGUCCAGACUCCUACGGGAGGCAGCAGUGGGGAAUAUUGGACAAUGGGCGAAAGCCUGAUCCAGCCAUGCCGCGUGUGUGAGGAAGGUCUUCGGAUUGUAAAGCACUUUAAGUUGGGAGGAAGGGCAGUAAGUUAAUACCUUGCUGUUUUGACGUUACCAACAGAAUAAGCACCGGCUAACUUCGUG
This 484-nucleotide ribosomal RNA is filed under the name uncultured bacterium. Its description in RNAcentral is "partial 16S ribosomal RNA". It matches the Rfam family "Bacterial small subunit ribosomal RNA", at positions 30 to 507 of the family's 1533-position model. The record is from RNAcentral.